GUGCCAGCAGCCGCGGUAAUACGGAGGAUCCAAGCGUUAUCCGGAUUUAUUGGGUUUAAAGGGUGCGUAGGCGGCUUUUUAAGUCAGGGGUGAAAGACGGUGGCUCAACCAUCGCAGUGCCCUUGAUACUGAAGAGCUGGAUUGAACUUGAGGUAGGCGGAAUGUGACAAGUAGCGGUGAAAUGCAUAGAUAUGUCACAGAACACCGAUUGCGAAGGCAGCUUACUAAGGUUUUAAUGACGCUGAGGCACGAAAGCGUGGGGAUCAAACAGGAUUAGAUACCCCCGUAGUCC
RNAcentral lists this ribosomal RNA (292 nucleotides) under uncultured bacterium. Its description in RNAcentral is "partial 16S ribosomal RNA". It matches the Rfam family "Bacterial small subunit ribosomal RNA", at positions 505 to 796 of the family's 1533-position model. The record is from RNAcentral.